RNAcentral lists this ribosomal RNA (2520 nucleotides) under human gut metagenome. RNAcentral's name for it is "bacterial LSU rRNA". The stretch from base 503 to 2520 matches the Rfam family "Bacterial large subunit ribosomal RNA", at positions 1 to 2505 of the family's 2925-position model. The record is from RNAcentral.
UGUUUCCCUCAAUGAUAUCAUGGACUACAAAGAUUUUAUUGAGUGGUUUCAGAAUCUUUCCAACCAGAAAGAACUGGAAUGGGGAGCCCUCUGGUGUGCGGUCCAUACAGAAGACGAAGAUGGCUACCUCGUAGAGCCAGACAUUGGUUUCUGUCCACUGCCAUCCGGAAUGAGCAUCAGCUGGGACAGAGAGAAAUAUCCGUACCUGUCUCUUCUGGAUAAUUCAGACCUUAUCCAUGUAGCAGAGGCAAAUGACGAAGAAAUCAUGCAGACUCAUUUUAUCAGUAUGCUUUCUUACAUCCGAGAUCAUGACGAGAUCCUUUCGAUGAUGGGUCAGACGACAGAUUCCCCGAACAGAUAUCAGGAUAUGAUCGAUUAUGUAAAGAAAAACGGUCUGAAGAUCCAUGGCUUUGCAGUCAGCGCAAAGAAAAAGGCGCUUCUUGAAUUGUACCAGGAAGCUAUGGUAUCGUACAUCCAGACAGUACCACAGAAUUGAGAAAGAAGUUAGGGAUAAACAGGUUUUUACAGAUUGAGCAAUGUGCAGAAAUACACAUUGCUCGAUUUUUAUGCAGAGGCUUUUUCAUUACAGAAUUUUGUGAUACAUUGUUCCAGAUCCGCACAAAGCUCCCUGGUUUUUUCUUCAGGAAUGCACAGGAUAUGGAAGCAGCACUGCAAAACCUGCCAGAACAGGGUAUUGAGUGAAAAACGUUCAGGCGCGGCUUUAACCAUUUGAGAGAUCACACCAAUGUAACCAUACAUAGAUGCCAUGGUAAAAUCAUCCACAUCCGAAAUGGGAAGAAUCUCAUCAAAGCUGUUUCGGUAAAGCGUUGUAAUAAAAACAGGAAGAUCUUUCUGUGGCACAUAGACGGGAUAGUCCGUGUAAUAGUCAGUCAGAAAGCGUCCAAGCUUCGGAUCCGUCAGGAUCUGCCCAGGAGUCAGACUACACGAGAUAAGUUGGGUGGUCAAAAGGGAAAGAGCCCAGACCUUCAGUUAAGGUCCCAAAGUGUGCGUUAAGUGGAAAAGGAUGUGGGAUUUCGAAGACAACCAGGAUGUUGGCUCAGAAGCAGCCAUUCAUUCAAAGAGUGCGUAAUAGCUCACUGGUCGAGUGGUCAUGCGCCGAAGAUGUACCGGGGCUCAAACGCGCCACCGAAGCAUGGGAUUGCCUGUUGUGAACACUGCUUUUAGGCUCGCCGAAGGCGACAGAUGUACGCCAGGGGAGCGAGGACACGCUGAAGGCAGUGCUCACAACAGGCAGUGGUAGAGGAGCAUUGAAUCAGGGCAGAAGCUGGAGCGGGAGCACCAGUGGACUUGAUUCAAGAGAGAAUGCCGGUAUGAGUAGCGAGAGGCAAGCGAGAAACUUGCCCGUCGAAAGCCUAAGGUUUCCUGGGGAAGGUUCAUCCGCCCAGGGUAAGUCGGGACCUAAGCCGAGGACGGAAGUCGUAGGCGAUGGACAGCAGGUUGAGAUUCCUGCACCGCCUUGAGAAUGAUGCAAUGACACAGAAGGAUAGCAUGAGCCGGGUGAUGGUCAACUCGGUUUCCAGAGCGAGGGCGUUUGGUAGUGAAGUACGCCAAGCACAUAGCCUGAGCUGAAGAGGGAGCGAAAUUGAAGUAGCGAAGCAUGCGAUUUCACGCUGGCGAGAAAAGUUGCUGGUAUAUCGAAGAGGCGCCCGUACCGCAAACCGACGCAGGUAGGCGAGGUGAGAAUCCUAAGACGAACGGGAGAACCCUUGUUAAGGAACUCGGCAAAAUGACCCCGUAACUUCGGGAUAAGGGGUGCCUGCGAGAGCAGGCCGCAGAGAAUAGUCACAAGCGACUGUUUAGCAAAAACACAGGUAUCUGCGAAAGCGAGAGCUGACGUAUAGGUGCUGACACCUGCCCGGUGCUGGAAGGUUAAGGGAACAUGUUAGAGCAAUCGAAGCAUCGAACCGAAGCCCCAGUAAACGGCGGCCGUAACUAUAACGGUCCUAAGGUAGCGAAAUUCCUUGUCGGGUAAGUUCCGACCCGCACGAAUGGUGUAACGACUUGUGAGCUGUCUCAACAGGGGGCCCGGUGAAAUUGAAGUAUGGGUGAAGAUGCCCAUUACCCGCGACUGGACGGAAAGACCCCGUAGAGCUUUACUGCAGCCUGAUAUUGAGUUUCGGUAACUGAUGCACAGGAUAGGUGGGAGUCUGAGAGACAUGGGUUUCGGCUCGUGUGGAGACGAUGUUGGGAUACCACUCUUCGGUUACUGAAAUUCUAACAUAGCUCUGUGAAACCAGAGGAUGGACAGUGUCAGGUGGACAGUUUGACUGGGGCGGUCGCCUCCGAAAGAGUAACGGAGGCGCCCAAAGGUACCCUCAGAAUGGAUGGAAACCAUUCGAAGAGCGCAAAGGCAGAAGGGUGCCUGACUGCGAGAUUGACAAAUCGAGCAGAGACGAAAGUCGGGCUUAGUGAUCCGGCGGUAUUGAGUGGAAAAGCCGUCGCUUAACGGAUAAAAGCUACCUCGGGGAUAACAGGCUGAUCUCCCCCAAGAGUCCACAU